CUCCUCAUCCACAUGGUGCUAGACAGCAAACUCUCUGAGAACUGGAUCCUUCCAGUGUUGUGUUUACUUCUGGCCCCGCUGCUCCUAGCCACACCCAUGAAAAAACAAUCCCAAACCUUGAUAACAUAAAAUUUUAAAUGUUCCCAUUGACAGAUAUGAAACUGUUUUCAUUUCCUGAAACUGCACCAAGGUUAUGUCCAUUCUACCUUAGCAGGUUGACUAUUUAUUUUUAACGUCCAAAACCAAUGUUCAUUCUUAUGAUCCCAAUAUGAGGCCAUUAGGCACGAGGAUGCCAUUUAUUCUUUGCACAACAGUGUAUGGAUGAGAAGCCAAAUGAUGAUUGAAAUGCAUCUACCCAGAGGAAAGGACAUUUACCGAAUAAUUGCAGUAGGCAGUAUUAACAGCUGUAAUUAAUUUUUAUAACUUUUCAUGUAGUCAACUUUUCUGUGAAAAUAUUAUAACAACUUCCAUCAUAUAACAAAGAACUACCCUUGAUUCUGCAUGUUGUUCUACCUAUUGCUCCACAUUUAUGUGAUCCAUCAUAAGAAAGCUUCCAGAAGGUGAUAUCAUAUGAUUGCACUUAUGAUGGUAUAAAAAAGCAACCUUCCAAUAUCAAUGGAUUAUCAUAAAAGAAACGUUUUGAAUCUGUCUACAAAUCUAACGUGGUUUGGUCAAGAAGAGAGUGUACUACAAAGAAAAAAUAGUGAAGUGUUUAGGUGUGAGCUACAUUUUCAUAGAAUUUGCAAUUCCACUUUCACUGAUGAAAGAGGAGAGGAACCUUCAAGAAGCAGAAUUGAGUGUGUUUCCUAAGAAAUGAUGGCUAGCACUUUGGCUUACACAGCAUUCACCAAAUCCUGUCACAUGGUAAUGUUGAGGCCCUGGAGACAAAGAAUUUAAAUCAUCAUUUGUGUCCAAGAGAGCUGAAAUCAGGUGUUAUUGAACUAUUCAGAGACAUGUUUACUGUCUUAUAUUAGUUUAUAUUCUUUCACUCUGUUAUCUCCUACAACCUUUUCUUUUAAUUUUUAGACUGGAUUUGUAUCUUUUGUUGAUGCUGCCUUUUCAUAAUCCAGCAGUGACUGAUUAAUUUUUGAGUUAGGAUCAAACUCAAAAAAUGUGUCCCUGACAUGCCCAGAAUGUAGACUAAGACAGUCUUGAGCUGAAGGAAAGCUUCCUUCCUCUGCCUCCAAGAGCAGCCUGGAGCAAUUUUGUAAAUUAGCUUUAGUGAAGUUUACUUGAUACAUGAAGUAUAGUGCUUGACAUAUUUAAUGUUUAGUACAGUAGAGUUGACAGAGGCUCAACACUUGUGCAGUUUGACUAAUUCAAUGUGACUGUUGCUCAGAAAAUCAGUCUGCAUCAGUAAUUUGUUAACUCAGGAGGAUGUGAUUCUCACACAUUGCAGAGAGAAGGAAAAGGAUUGUUCAUUAUCACAUUUACUACUUGCACACAUUCCUAUGGUGCUGGCUAUUUUUAUGUCCACUUGACACAAGUAGAGUUAUCUGAAAGAAGGGAACCUCAAUUGAGCAAAUGCCUCCAUAAAAUCUGGCUCUAUGGCAUUUUCUUAAUUAAUGAUUGAAGUGGGAGGGCCCAGAUCCUUGUGGGUGGUGCCACUACUGUGUUGGUGGUCCAGAGUUCUAUAAGAACGCAGGCUGAGCAAGCUAGUAAGCAGCACUCCUUCAUGACCUCCAUAUCAUUUCCUGCCUCCAGGUUCCUGCCUUGUUUCAGUUUCUGUCCUUCCUUCAGUGAUGAACUUGAUAUGGAAGUAUAAGUCAAACAAAUCCUUUCUUCCCAAAGUUGAUUUGGUCAUGCUGUUUCAUCAAAGCAAAGAAACCAUUGUUGAAACAUCUAAUCAGGUCUCUACGUGUUUCCAUCAGAUGCUGGAUGAAGCCUCUCAGCAGACAAUUAUGCUAGGCUCCUGUCUCUCCUGUGCAAGCAUAGCAGAGUACCCUGUGUUUUCACGAGGGCCCAUUGCUGCCAAGAAAUCAGUUUUCAGAAGCAUUAAAAGAUGCAGAGGUGCUGCCAAGGAAUUAACAGGUGGGUUUGGCUUACUUGGAUUUAGUAGAAUACAGGGGCACAGGUGUAAUUCCAGGAAAUUAAAGAAGCUUAAUAAAAUGAAGGAAGGCUAACAGGGUUCAGCAAGAAAAAAGGAAUCAGUACACUUGUACAAUGAGGAAAGGACUCAGAGCAAACAUUGGGUUGUGCACCUGGGAGUCAUAGACGAUGGUUAGAAGAGUGGUUUAUAUAAGCUGUUGUGUCCUGCUCUGCUCCAGUGGCACAGGUUGAAACCCCAUUUUUCCUGUGACUGUAUUUGGACAUAAGGUCUUUGAGGAGGUAAUUACUGUUAAAUCAAGUUCAAAGGUGGAACCAUAGAAGACUGUGUUGAUGUCCUUUUAAAAGAGAAAAAAGACAUCUGGACUCUGUAGUGUUCCUGUUCUGUCUUUCUGCUGCAUACACAAAGACAAGGCCUUGAGAGAAACAGCAACAGGACUUGUGUUCAGUCAAGAAAACACUUCCACUAGAGACUGAAUAUGUAGCUGUCUUGACCGUAAACUUAGUGCCUCCAGAAUAUUAGGAAAAAAGAUAGGAAGGAAGGAAGGAAGGAAGGAAGGAAGGAAGGAAGGAAGGAAGGAAUGAGGGAAAAGUUCUCUUGUUUAAAUCACCAAUCUGUGGUUGGCAUUCAGUUUUGGGAGUUCCUGCAGGCCAAUGUGAGCAAUAAGGGGAUCAUGUUUAAAUAUUUGAGGAAAUGGUAGUUGUUAAGCUGAUACUUACUCAAAAUUACAAAAUUCUUAUAUUGUCUUAUAAAAAAGCAGAUGUGCGUGUAUAGAACAAGAGAUGGGGCAUUAUGAACUAAUAUGGAUUAUGGUUUCAUAAAUAAGUGUUGCCUGUCAUUAAAAAUGCUCCUAGGCUCAUGCUCUGACAUCUCCAGGUUCCCCUUGCUUCAACUCGAUCACAACCAUCCCUCAAACUGGAAAAUCCUGGAGCUGCAGUCUGCACUCCACCAGUCCCUUCACUAUCUUUGCUAAGCCACCAGCUAUCGCCCCAGAUUCCCUCUUUCUGCUGCCUACUUUAGCUCUGCGUAAGAAAAACACUAGAUAGCUUUAUUAUUUUAAAACAAGCCAGAUGGCACAAUUGUUAGGCAAUUAUCUGCUAACAUAUUUCAGCAAACCAUGGGUGGUGGAGGCCGCCAUUUCCAGCCACCCAAGAUCUUACAUUGUUGUUAUGUGCCUCCCAUUUCAGAACCUGCGGAAGAGCCUUCUCUUCCCCUCGGUCCCUUCUCUUCCUUCUGGGUCCUGGAAAUACCACUUUUUUUCCCCUUCUCCCAGUAAUUGACUCUUGCCUUCUUUAUUGACCAAAUCAAGAACCAGUUAGGGAGCAAGGUUUUAGUAACAGCUCCUCUCCCUACAAAUUGGUGUGUAGGAUAAUAUAUUGGGAGAAAAAAAUGUUAGCACAGCAGAAAGAGGAGAUACUAUUGAUAUUGGGGAUCUUAGGUUGGGGAAUGAUGGGAUCAGGAGUUUCUGAGGAGGCCACAUGGGACAGGACCAUUAAUUGGCUCUUUUUAAUUUGGAGAAAAUCCAGGGUAUGUGUCUAGAAACUUAGUGUAAAAACUGACGCCCGUAUUUUUCUCACUCAUUUUUAUACUAUAAGAUUAGAAAUUAAGGGUCUAAAAGAUGAAAGGAUAGUGUGAUGAAGACAAAUUUCAGGAUUAUAAUAUUCUUGAAUAAGAUUAUAAAAAUGAGGACUACGAUAUAGUUGGAUAGGAUAGUAAGAAAUGGGGACUAAAUAUGUUUACAGUCUUGAAACUAUAGAUUUCAUAGUGAAAGGGAAUGAUUGAUAAAUAAUGAAAUAUUUUGGUGGAUAGGUGCUAUGCAACAUCUUCCUCAAGUUUAAGAAAAAGUUAAGAAAGAAUGAGUUGCAGAUGCACAAAUAAAGAAAAAUAUGAUAAAAACCAAGAAGAAUGAUGAAUGCUCACAGUCAACUCUUGGCCCGAGCCAGGGUAUCCUAAUAGAAGAGUUAGGAGAGGAGAAGGAGGGGAUUGCAACCCCAUAGGAAGAACAACAGUAUCAACUAACUGAACACCCCAAACAUUUCAGGGACUAAACGACCAACCAAUGAGUAUAUGUGGAUGGGUCCAUGGCUCCAACUCCAUAUGUAGCAAAGAAUCACCCUAUCUAGCAUCAAUGGUAAGGGAGGCCUUGGUCCUAUAGAGAUUUAAUUCCUAAGCAUAGGGAGAUGCAGGAAGGGUGAGGCAAAAAGGGGUGCAUGAGUGGAGGAACACCUUCAUAGAGGCGAAGGGAACAGGGCAAUGGGAUUGGGGGCUUGGGCAAGGGAGAACAGGAAGGAGGACAAGAUUUGAAAUGUGAGCAAAUAAAAUAAUCAAUAAUAAAAAAGCAAAGCUAACAAGGUAGGAAUGAAAACUCUAAAAACCAAGAAAAGCUAAUCAGAUGUUAAAUAAAUAUAUUGGAUAGAACAUAAGAUAUUAAGUGAGACCAAUGGUCAAGCUGACAUAAAUAGCAUUUAUUUAAAGUUCUAUAAGUAAACAUUAAACAUACAUAUUUCAUCUUAUAACAAUGAAAAGUGGCUAUUGGUGGCUCCUCUGAUGACACUGGACUGAUAGGAGCUUCUGUGGUAGACUCAAAUCUGUGUAGGGAAUGGGUGAAGACCUCAGACAGGGAAAAUAUUUGGCAACCAAGACAACUUGCUGCAUAUGCCAUAUGCCUUAUUACUGGAAAGAGUUAAAGCAAAGAUUUAUACAAGGCGAGACACUUGGUGAAACACUGUUUUGGGAUCCUAGCAUGAAAUGGGAAGAAUUAUCUUGUAAGUUUUCAGGUUACAGAGGACAUUGCCAUAAGCAUCUAAACAAAGAGACUUGGAACUUCGAGAUCAGUUUAGAUGUUAAUUUGACUCCUUCCUCCCACCACAACCCUGUGAAGAUGAAAAACUGGGCCCUCCCAACUCUCAGAUCUUGCUUAUUGACCUUGCACUUCCUAAUGCUCUGGCCAUGAGAAAGGAUGCCGUGUAAGCCCAGACAAAUACAGUAGUGUUUUUUGUUAUAGAAGCCAAACUGACUACAACAAAAAUUUUCAGAGUAUUGGGGGAAAUUAUGUCCCAGGAGAUGUAAGGUAGACCAUGCAUGAAAUCCGUUAGCUAGGAUGAAGAGAGUUCAACAGCCUACUUUGUAGGUCUGCCUAAGCUCCUCACCUUAUCAUAGGUUUUACUCUUGUUCUCACUUCAAUUAGCUCAUCUUUGGAACCCCUUGAACUAUUUCCUGGGCAUUGUGAGCUUUGUUCUAGGCUUGAAAGCAUCUCAAAUAUAUUUAAAGCAAAAUGUUCUCCAUAAAGCCGAGCUAAUUUACUGCAUAGGAAGCAUGAGAUCAGUUGGUGGAAACAUUUUCGUUCUACCAACACAGUAUGAAAAGAACAUAUGUUACAAUUAUCUUUAUGGCUUACACCCAUCUUCUGUUAUUAGCAAUUAGUCAUAGUAUCCUUCUGCAUGGCUCAAAUCAUGUCUACCUUUGGCAAUAAUGCAUGUUAUCUUAACCUCUAGGAGUCCAGACCUUGUCAUAGUGAGGAUCCUUCCUAGCAGAGCAGUGAAUACAACGGAGUUUGUGGUAAGAGCAUCACCAUGAGGCUAGCUGAGUCUUCUGUGAUGCCAGUGUGCUUAGGGAUGGGAAAUUGGAAUUUUUAUGAAGUAACUCCCUUUUGAUCCUGUCAUUUAAAGCCUGAAAGAUAAAAUGACCCCUGUACUACCCAAACCUCACCUACGAUGCCUGCAGAGUUUUACUGCUUCAUAAAACUACAAUAAAGCCCCACUACUUAAAAAAGAUCCCACUCUCCAUCCCACGGUGUUUACAGUCUUUGAUCAUUUUAGAAAGGAGAGUUGGAGAGCUGCCAGAAUCAGGAAACGAGCAGGCUUUUGUCCUCUCCCAGCUAUUACAAAAAUUUUAUGCCUAAAAGGAAGAAAAGAAUAACGCCCCAAACUAGGUACUUCGGAACUGUGUAAACGUUGUGAUUUAAUUCGCUAAUCUCCAAAUUUGCCACGGAAAAUAAAAGGCUACCUGGGAGCUGUCAGCCUGGAGAUAAGUCUUGUUGUUAGUAUGCAAGCCUGUGUGCUCAUGUCUUGAGAUUACAUCUGCUCAUUACAGGUAGCAUGGCUUCCACAUAUUCCACGAGGAAAACAGAGCACGGAUGCAAAGUGGAUGACCAACAGCCAAGGAUAACUCAGGAUUAUUUCAUGGCCUCACUGAAAGGGGUUGUUGAGGGUAGGGGGUGAUGGUACAGGCGUGUGAUCUCUGCUGCCAGAAAUCUGGAGAUAGGAGAGUGGUAACUUUAUAAAUCUGCCUGGCCUCCAUAGAAAAUCCUUUUUCAAAAACAGCUGGAUGAUUUGAAAGCUUUUUGGAGAAUUUGGUGGUAGCUUUUUAGUGCUAAGGACUUUAUAAUAACUGCACAUGUCAUGAGGUCAAGAAUACCAUGAAAGAAUUUUUUUUGAAGUGAACACUGUCAAAAUAAGCAUGGGUUCUCACCCCUUUCGAAGUAAGCAGGUUAUGAUUGGUGCUCAAAGGUCAGUGGCAGCAAAUACUCUCUUUGAAGAAAGGAAUAGAAAGAUUUUGCUUUUGUCUUUGUUCUUUGCCUGUGUUUUGUUUGUUUGCUUGUUUAUCUUUUUUAUCCUGGCAGCCCUACUGUUAUUAUCUGGGUAUUUAGUAUGACUGAAUAUAUGUAAAGGGAAAAUUAUGAUUAUUUCAACUAAGAUACAUUUGGAAGCAAACUAUGCAAUAAAUAAUGUUUAAAGUGACUUUUGAAUUACUUUAUCUCUCCCAUUAGGUUUGAAAGUUCUUGAGUAAGAUGAUGCUAAGGCCUAUGGCUUCUGGUGCAUUUUCUCCAUACUUUAUUGCUGUAAAAUUAUACUUGACUUGUCUCCAAACCACCACGUAUUUUAAUUUGCCCUGUUUAAUCCAUUUACCAUCAAGAUUUCUUCACCUUAUUCGGCUUGAUGAUGUAAUACCCUUUUCAUCAUUCUUCAAAUUUGUUUCCUACUUUCUCCCACCAUGGCAUCUGCUUUUGUUUCUUGCACAAUGGCAGAUUAAUUAAUCUAGUGCUCAGAGUAAAGGCUAUGAAUAAAGUAAUAUUUGGCAGCGAUUGCCGGACAUGGGUCAAGCUGAAUCACUGCUAGAAAGUCAACACUGUCUGCUCAUUCCUGUAAUCAUACAUGAAGCCUUGGAGAAGUGGUUCUUAUUUCUAAAAAUAUGAGACUCACUGUACACCUAUCCAUAUGACUAAGACCCAGAACAAUGAAAUCGCCAAGCACUAAGGAAGAUGUGGGGUUGGGGAGAAGUUUCUCUAAUUGCAUAUGAAAUGAAAUGCAGUCCAGCACUUUGAAAGACAAUAAGCAAUUUCAUAAAUAUCUAAAUGGACUCAUACCACAACCUCGACAUACGCAUACCUGAUUUUUUUUUCUAAAUGAACUGAAAUUUGUUUCAUAAAAUUUCACACAAGGAUGUUUGUAGUGACAUGCUAAGACAGCCAAACUUGUUAGUGAUGAUGAUAUCUUCUAUCAUGUUAAUGGAUAGAUGAAAUGUGGCAGUCUCUCACAAUGUAAUAUUACUUAUUACUAAAAAAGAAAUGAGCCAGGUGUGGUGGUGUACAUCUUCAAUCCACUCUCACAGUGGCAAAUGCAGGCAGACCUCUAUGAGUUUGAUCCACAUAGGAAAUACCAGAAGAGACAAACCACUCCCUGGUCAAAAACAAAAACAAAAAUUAAAAUAUAAAGAAAUAGAAGAAACAAAUUCAUAUUAUUAAGUAAUACAGCAAUUAGCAAGAGGUACACAUUAUCAAAUUCUAACUAUUCAACCACUGAGUAAAUCUGUUCUUUUAUAGGGAUUGCCUUGCUAAUGGUUUCUCUUCUCAUCAAGAGAACAGUGACUGAGACAAAUGUUUUUCAGAAUUUAACUGUAAGUAGAUUAAUACAUUAUAGGAAAUUUUAGAUAUACAAGGAAAUAUAUGCAGAAAUGAAUAAUGAUCGGACAAAAAUCGUCUAAUAAUAUGGUAAUGAAUAGGUAGUAUGAUGGUUUCAAGCAGCAUUUUAGCUGGGUGUGGUAUUAACCCUAGCGUUCUGGAGGCAGAGGCAGGUGAAUGUCUAUGAGUUGGAGGCUAGUCAUUCUCAUACAAGCUGAGCUGUCUGAGGGAAAAAGAGACCAGCUGGACUGACUGAAAUAAGCAAAGACUAGCCAGGUUGUCUGCAAGAGGCUCAGACAGUCCUGGGAUUUAGCAAGGAAGCCAACUUGAGUCAUUCUGGUUAACUGUAGGGCUCUUGUACAUAUUCCUCUUGGCAAUCCAAUAAAACUCAUUGGUUCACCAAGCUGAAUUUAAGGUAUAUCUUUACUUGUUCUGUCAUUGCCUUUAUGUCUCUCCAGGAAGAGUGUCACACAGCAGACAUUUAUACACAACUACUCAUGUAUUUAUGGGAGGGAGGGAAUACUGUCUCAGUAUUUUAUAUUUUCUGUCUUAUUGCAAUCAGACAUGGGCAGAGAGCCUUGUUUCACUGGUUAUUGUGUGUCAUGGAGAUUCUAUCCUGCCUUUCCUAAGUGGAAGUGUGGUUCUGUGUUUUUGGCUACCCAUGCUUGAGCCUUUCAGAUUCUUUGAGAGUUACCCAGUGAUUCCAAUUCAGGCACAACAGAGAAAGCAUGUGAAUGUGACUCCUAGCUGAGUCUGCUCAUGUCAACUGUAAGGAUAGCACUAGUGGUCAGGGACUCUGAGUUACUCACCAGGGUGGCUUAAUAUGCCUGCUUUGUGUCCAAGCUAGGAGUGAGAUUGUGGAGAUGGGGAGAGAAAAUGAGGUCAUGGUUACUUACAAGUCUGGACUGCUUUUUUGUUUUUGUUUUUUGUUUUUUGUUUUAUUGUUUUUGUUAUUUUUGUUUUUUUUUUUGUUUUUAAUGCUACCAGACUUGAGCUGGGCCAGUUAGUAUAGCUAGGGAAUGAAUGAGUGGUGAUAUGGAAUGCUCACAAACUGGACAUCUGUGACAGCAGUAAGAUUCAAUUUAGACUUCAAACUAACAGUGAAUGAGUAUUCCUUUUUGUCUAGAUCCAUGCCAAAACUUUGUUGUCAUUUAACCUGUUUAUUUACUUUAGCCAAUUUUAUUCAGGUAAGAAGAAGCUGUAAAGUAGGCUUAAUUUAUAUUUCUCUGAGGGCUAAGGACAUUGACUAUUUUAAAUGAUCUUUUAAGUGAUAUUUAAUAUUUUAAAAUGUACAAAAUAAGUGUCUAGGAUUAAAAUGUGGAUACUUGUCACCCAUGGACAACCUGAUCAUCAUUUCUGAAGCGAGAGAUUUAAAAAUUCCUUACCUACGUGAAUUAUUCUAAUGUGAGGUUGGACAGAUAGUCCAAGCUUAAACAAAUUCACACUUAUUUAUAAAAUGUCCACAUGACAAUUAAGUGUCUGAAUGGAUUUGUGGGGACGUGAGAACAAAUGUCUACUCCCGCAUAUAAGGAAUGAAUAGCAGACUGAAGUAAGGAUAGAAGCAAAGUAAAGCUUGCUGGACUGAUGAGUUUUAAUGAAGUGGAUAUGGAUAAGAGGUGACUUAUAGCAGAAAUGAAACAAAGAGGCCUGGUUGCUAACACCCAACCCAGCAUGGGUGAAAUCUCAUGACAGUUGGGAAACCUGGAGCCCACUGCACUGUCUGCAAGGGAGGAGUGUUCUCUCCAAGUAGCUCAGUUGAUCUGAAACGUCAAGACAGCUUGUCUAUUCUCUAUUUCUUCAGGCACUUCAGCUUAUGAAUGAAUGAUUGAUUCUCAGUAGUUCUUUUUUUUAAAAAAAUAAAACUGGAUUUUUAAAAAUUUGUUUACAUUUAAAAUGUUAUCCCCUUUCCUGGUUUCCUGUCCAUAACCCCCUAUCCCAUGCCCUCCAUCUUCCAUAAGGGUGUUCCCCCACCUAUUGACCCACCCCUUACCCCCUCCCUGCCCUGACAUUGCCCUACACUAGGAGGUCCAGCUUUUGCAGGACCAAGGGCUUCUCUUUCCAACAAGGCCGUCCUCUGCUAUAUAUGAAGAUGGAGCCAUGGGUCUGUCCAUGUAUACUCUUUGGAUGAUAGUUUAGUCCCUAGGAGCUCGGGUUGAUUGGUAUUGUUGUUCUUAUGGGGUUGCAACCACUUCAGCUCCUUCAAUUCUUUAUUUAACUCCUCCAUUGGGAACCCCAUUAGUUCAAUGGUUAGUUCUAGCAUUUGCCUCUCUAUUUCUCAUCUCUGGCAAAGCCUCUCAGGAGACAGCUAUAUCAGGCUCCUGUCAGCAUGCACAACUUGGCAUCCCCAGUAGUGACUGGGUUUGGUGGCUGUAUGCAUAUGGGCUGGAUCCCCAAAUGGGGCAGUCAAUGAAUGUCCAUUCCUUCAAUCUCUGCUCCAACUUUUGUCUCUAUAUCUGUGCCUAUGAAUAUUUUGUUUCCCUUUCUAAGAAGGACUGAAGUAUCCACACUGUGGCUGUCCUUCCUCUUGAGUUUCCUGUGGUCUAUGGAUUGCAUGGAUAUUGGGUAAUCUGAGUUUUUAGGCUAAUAUCAAUUUAUCAGUGAGUUCAUACCAUGUGUUUGUUUGUGUGUGUGUGUGUGUGUGUAUGUGUGUGUAUGUGUGUGUGUGUGUGUGUGUGUGUGUGUGUGUGUGUGUGUUAUUGGGUUACCUCACCCAGGAUAAUAUUUUCUAGUUCCAUCCAUUUGCCUAAGAAUUUCAUGAGGUCAUUAUUUUUAAUAGUUGAGUUGUACUCCAUUGUGUAAAUGUACCACAUAUUCUGUACCCAUUCCUCUGUUGAAGGACAUCUGGGUUCUUUCCACAUUAUGGUUAUUAUAAAUAAGGCUCCUGUGAACAUAGUAGAACAUGUGUCCUUGUUAUAUGUUGAAGCAUCUUUUGGGUAUAUGACUAGGAGUGGUAGAGUUGGGUCCUCAGGUAGUACUAUGUCUAAUUUUCUGAGGAACCACCAGACUGAUUUUCAGAAUGGUUGUCCCAGCUUGCAAUCACACCAAGAGGAGUAUUCCUCUUUCUUCAUAUCCUCAUCAGCAUAGGCUGAUGAGUUUUUGAUCUUAACCAUUCAUGUGAGGUGGAAUCUCAGUGUAGUUCUUGUUUACAUUUCCCUGAUGAUUAAUGAUGAUAUUGAGUGUUCUUUAGGUGCUUCUCAGCCAUUCGAUAUACCUUGCUUGAGAAUUAUUUGUUUUGCUAUGUACUCCAUUUUAAAUGGGAUUAUUUGAUUCUCUGGAGUCUAUCUUGUUGAGUUCUUUGUACAUAUUGGAUAUUAGCAGUCUAUCAGAUGUAGGAUUGGUAAAGAUCCUUUCCCAAUCUGUUGGUUGCCAUUUUGUCCUAUUGACAGUGUCCUUUGCCUUACAAAAGCUUUGCAAUUUUAUGAGGUCCCAUUGGGCAAUAUGCAGGAAUUUGUCUAUGUAUUGAAGGCUCUUCCCCACUUUAUUUCUAUUUCUUUCAGUGUAUCUGGAUUUAUGUGGAGGUCUUUGAUCCACUUGAACUUGAGCUUUGUACAAAGAAAUAAGAAUGGUUCAACUUGCAUUCUUCUACAUGCUGACCUCCAGUUGUACUAGCACCAUUUGUUGAAAAUGCUGUCUGUUUUCUACUGAAUGGUUUUACCAAAGGUGUAUGGGUUCAUUUCUGUGUCUUCAAUUCUAUUCCAUUUAUCUACCUGCCUGUCUCUGUACCAAUACAAUACAGUUUUUAGCACUAUUGCUUUGUAAUACAACUUGAGGUCAGGGAUGGUUAUCCCCCCCAAAGUUCUUUUAUUGUUGGGGAUAGUUUUUGCUAUCCUGGUUUUUUUUUUGUUAUUCUAAAUGAAUUUACAAAUUGUUCUUUCUAACUCUAUGAAGAAUAGAGUUGGAAUUUUGAUGGGGAUUAGAUUGAACCUGUAGAUUGCUUUUGGGGAGAUGGCCACUUUUAUAAUAUUAUUCCUGCCAAUCCAUGAGCAUGGGAGAAGGUACAAUGAGGUGCUGAGAAGAAGGUAAAUUAUUUUGUUUUAGGAUGAAAUUUUCUAUAUCUGUUAAAUCCAUUUGGUUCAUAACUUCUGUCUCUUUCUCUAUGUCUCUGUUUAGUUUCUGUUUCUGUGAUAUGUCCAUUGAUUGGAGUGUGUGUUGAAGUCUCCCACUAUCAUUGUUUGAGGUGCGAUAUUUGCUUUGCACUUUAGUAAGGUUUCCAUUGUGAAUGUGGGUGCACUUGCAUUUGGAGCAUAGAUAUUCAGGAUUGAGAGUUCAUCUUAGUGGAUGUUUUCUUUUGAUGAAGUGUCCUUCAUUAUCUUUUUUGACAACUUUUGGUUGAAAGUCAAUUUUAUUUGAUAUUAGAAUAGCUACUCCAGCUUGUUUCUUGGGAUCAUUUGCUUGGAAAUUGUUUUCCAGGCUUUUAUUCUGCGGUAGUGUGUCUUUGUCAGUGGGAUGUGUUUCCUGUAUUCAGCAAAAUGCUGGGUCCUCUUUAUGUAUCCUGUCUGUUAGUCUAUGAUUCUUUAUUGGGGCAUUGAGUCCAUUGAUGUUGAGAGAUAUUAUGGACCAAGGAUUGUUGUUUCCUGUUAUUUUUUAUUGUUAGAGGUGCAACUAUGUUUGUGUGGCUCUCUACUUUCUGGCUAGUUGAAAUCAGAUUACUUUUUUGCUUUUCCAGGGUAUAGUUUUUCUCCUCAGGUUGGAGUUUUCCAUCUAUCAUCCUUUGUAGGGCUGGAUUUGUGGAAAGAUAUUGUGUAAUUGGUUUUGUCGUGGAAUGUCUUGGUUUCUCCCUCUAUGUUAAUUGAGAGUUUUGCUGGAUAUAGUAGCCUGGGCUGGCAUUUGUGUUCUCUUUGGGUCUGCAUGACAUCUGUCCAGGAUCUUUGGGCUUUCAUAUUCUCUGUUAAGAAGUCUGGUCUAAUUCUUAUAGAUCUGCCUUUAAAAGUUACUUGAUUUUUUUCCCUUACUGCUUUUAAUAUUCUUUCUUUGUUUUGUGUGUUUGGUGUUUUGACCAUUAUGUGACAGGAAGAACUUAUUUUUUGGAUCAAUCUAUUUGGAGUUCGGUAGGCUUCCUAAAUGUUUAUGGGCAUCUCUUUCUUUAGGUUAGGGAAGUAUUCUUCUACAAUUCUGUUUAAGAUAUUUACUGGCCCUUUAAGUUGGGAAACUUUCCUCUCCUCUACACCUAUUAUCCUUGGGUUUGGUCUUCUCAUUGUCCUGAAUUUCCUAGAUGUUUUGGUUUAGGAGCUUUUUGCAUUUUGCAUUUUCUUUGAUAGCUGUGUCAAUGUUAUCUAUGGUUUCUUCUUCCCCUGAGAUUCUCUCUUCUAUCUCUUGUAUUCUGUUGGUAAUGCUUGAGUCUAUGACUCCUGAUCUCUUUCCUAGGCUUUCUAUCUCCAGGGUGGUCUCCCUUUGUGAUUUCUUUAUUUUUUCUAUUUCCAUUUUUAGAUCCUGGAUUGGUUUGUUCAAUUUCUUCAGCUGUUUGGUUGUGUUUUCCUGUAAUUCUUUAAGGGGUUUUUGUGUUUUCUUUAUAAAGGCUUCUACCUAUUUACCUGUGUUGUCCUGUAUUUCUUUAAGGGAGAUUUUGGGUGUUUUUUUGUUUGUUUGUUUUAUUUUUUUUUGUUUUGUUUUGUUUUUUCCUUCUUAAAGUCUUCUAACAUCAUCAUUAGUUUUUAUUUUAAAUCAAAUUCUUGCAUUUCCAAUGUGUUGGGGUGUUCAGGGCUUGGGAUAGGUGAGUUAGGUUCUGAUGAUGCCAAGGGUCCUUGGUUUCUGUUGCUUAGGUUCUUGCCCUUGCCUCUUGCCAUCUGCUUAUCUCUAGUGCUAGCUGGUCUUGCUGUCUCUGACAUUGGCUUGACCAUCCUGUAAGCCUGUGUGUCAGCACUCCUGGAGACUGGCUUUCUUCCAGCAGCAGUUGGGAACAGAGAGCUGUUUCACAAGGUCAGCUCCAGACACAGGCAGAAACCAGAGGGAUCCUGUCCCAGACUGCUCCUCAUUUCUUGUGUCCAGAAGGGUGGGAGCAGGUUCUCUUGGGCCAGCAAAGUGAGCAGAAGAGGUAGUCUCACCUGUGCUCACAGGAUUGUCCGGACUUCUGAGAAUCCAGCUCUCUACUCACAGGGUCUUGGUACCACAUAGUCCUUAUUAUAUAUACUUAAGGUAGGAAGCACCUAGCGAAUCUGCUCAGGUUCAGGUACUUCCUGAAACUAUUUUGAGUUGCUUACUUUCUAAGCUUAACAUGCUUCCAUGGAGCAUAGCAUGCUGCCCCCACCCUUAACUUCACAUGCUUUAAGGAGUUUCCAAAAAAGAUGGAAGGGUUUAAUUUUAAAGAAAAUGGUUCCACCACACAUCUCAUCACUGGAAGCUGGGAAGACUAUCCUCCAAGAUAGUCUGGCUUCGCUUUGCAACUCUAGAGAACAAAGUCAAUGGUUGUAUUGUCCCAAAUGCUGUUUUCUCUGGGUUAGAGAUGACUAGUGUCUCACCUUUAUGAACCUCUUAAUACAACCAUCACAAAUCAGGCAUUGACAAAUGCUAGUUCAAGCACAGCAUGUUGAACAUAGUAGGUAUCAUAGUGUUGUUGAUAAUAACCUUGAGACUCAAAGACAUUUUAAAGCACUAGUUUCUAAAGUACCCUAAAUAAUAAAAUUCAGCAGUUAGACCAAGGUAAGACAUUUUCUGAAAUAUAAUAAUAAGUCUAUUUUCAUUAAAAAUAAUUAGCUUUCUCUAUAUGGAUAUAAACACACAUCAACAAUUAAAAAGUGUGCUUAUGUGUCAGUGUAUAAUAUGGUUUGUGCUUUUGAACGUGGGAAAAGAGAAUUUAUUCUAAAUACUCUUAAAUAUAUAAUCAUUAAAUGGCAACUGGGAUAUGACACAGAGUUCAAACCUUUUGAUGUCUUGGAAAACAAUGGAUGAUGAAUCUUACUUCCUACUCUGCUCCCUAGCCAUGUUUACAUGGGUUCUGUUUUUCAUUUCCAUUCUUCUGUUGCUAGGGCUAGAAAGCAGGGCUUUGUGGAUUCCAGCCAUGCUGACUUCUACUUCUGAUCUACACUGGCAAAGUUUAUAGCCUCGAACAAAAAUGGAAUCUUACUCUGAAGCCUCCAACCUUCCCAGAAUGCUCACUGUACUACGUGCACAUGCACAAGGCCUUUGGAUUGAACACUUCAGAAUGUGUUAAGAGGCCUAGGCAAAAAAAAAAAAAUGAUUUUCUUAGAUUUCAAUACAUUUGGUUUUUUUAUUAGCUGACACAAAGUUUUGUGCAGUCCUCUAGGUUGCACAAACUGAGGUAUUGUAGUCAGACUUGAUUGCAGAAAAUAGCUAUAACUAGAAAUCUACUCACUGCAGCACCCAGACACACAAAGAGCAGUGGUGGGAACACAAUCUGCAAAGAUGAUUUUAACACAAUGGCCUGAGAGUUGUUUGUAUCCUUUCUAUUAAGACGUCCUAACUUAAACCCUCAUUCAGCUUUCCUAAAAAUGAAGCAUUCUAUAGAAUGAAACCUGCUUAUCAGGCACAUUCUGCACACUUAUUGUUGUAUUUUAAAAUGAGCUUCUUCUUCACUUUCAACUGAAUUGAAAACAACAACCAUCAGAUGAGGUCAUCCCAGCAGGAAGCCCAAUUAACUCAAAAUAAAGUCUCAAAUGAUACAUGAACCAGAACUCAUAAUCAGCUUCCCCCAGGGUACUGCGACCCACUCUUGCAUUAAAAUGUGUUAAUGUGAUCUUCUUCUGUCUUCGUCAAUUCUAUUGCCCCUUUAACCAAUAUUUUAUGUCUUCGAUGUAUAAACUUUUAGAUAAAUGCAUAUGAUCUAGAUAAUAGCCUACGAAUUGGCUAUUCUCAAUUUUAGUUCUUCAGAUACUUACCUACCUGUUCAGGAACAUCUGCUUUUGCUUAAGUGGGAUUGAUAUCGAUAUCAACUCUUUUCUAAUUUGCAAAUUUACAUUUUUAUUAGUGCAUUUUUCAAAGAGUAAGUUAAGUAAGAAAGAAUGAGAGAAAAGAAUGAUAGCGAAACAGAGAGAGAGAGAGAGAGAGAGAGAGAGAGAGAGAGAGAGAAUACCUAAUUAUACAGCAGAUGCCAGAAGUGGUAUUUAUUCACCAAAACUGCAUGGGCCAUUCAUUAAAAUCUCAGUUUUAAUUAGCAAACACCUGUUUUCUGUUUGAUUUUACACUGAUAUCUACUGUCUGCAAUUUGCUUUCCUCAGUAAGCAAUUAGCUAGCCCUGACAGUAACGGUUAAUCUAAUUAGUCCAGAGGUACCCUGGGAGGUAGCGAUCGACUUGCAGAGAUUACAGAUACAAGUGAUCACAGCUUCAUCCACAUGAAUUUAUAAGAUGUGCACACAAUUGUUGUUAGGCAUCACCUUGGUCUUGGACUUUCCUUCUGGACUGGGUUUAGAAGGAAGGAAGGAAGGAAGGAAGGAAGGAAGGAAGGAAGGAAGGAGGAAGGGAGGAAGGAAGGACUAGAUAAUGCAAGUUUUCAACAUAUUAUAUGUACUAGAUGGCAUACUAAAUCUAGAAAUCCUUGAGCUGAGAGAUAGAACAAUUGUAUCUUUUAGCUUAUAAGAGGUUAGAAACUGAUGAACUCCUUAAUCAGGUAUAUAAAACAAUUAUUGUAUACCCAGGAGUUUAGAAGAUCAGCUGAUCCAAGGGCCAUUUAAAUGCUUUCAGGCAAGAAUUAAAAUGUCCUCUAAUAAAUUUCCGUUGUCACUAAAGAAACAGCAUGAGGACACUGCAUUUCUUGGAACAAGGAGGCUGUCCUUGUUUGCAAACUGGCAAAAGUGUGUUUGCAAACAUAUAAUAUACAUGACUGUACUGGCAUGCUAUCAUAGCUUAAUGAAGUUCUCUGAUGUCUUUUAACAUAGAUUAUGGCAUAGGAGAAAUUCUUUUUCCUAAUUCUGAAAUUAAGUCAAAAUGAGUUACCACUGAAUUCUAGGGUCUAGAAAAAUCUGCAUCAAAGAAGCAGUCAGUCAUUAGACUUAAUUAUGUAUCACAUUUCCAUAAUGGUGCAGUUAGGUGAUUGGAGUGAAUCGUCUCCUAAGGAAAGCAAAGGUUAAUAAAUGUCACUACUAGAGAUGCCUGCCAAUGUGUCUCUUCCUUCUCCCUUCUCACUCUCUCAAGUAUUUAUCUGGAAAAUAAGGAACUCUGGGUUACUUGACUGUAUUCACACACUACACAUAGAAGAAUACACAUUCUUUAUGCACAUAAAGGUUUAUCCCCAGCCAGUAGUGAAAACACAUUCAGAAAACCUCUGACUCCAUGAAUUUACAUGAUAUCAAAUAUCAUGAAAGACAACCAAAAAGAAGAAGAAGAAGAAGAAAAA
Rattus norvegicus (Norway rat) is the source of this 17233-nucleotide non-coding RNA. NCBI's taxonomy places the organism in Eukaryota, Metazoa, Chordata, Mammalia, Rodentia, Muridae. The record is from RefSeq and is a predicted model, not a curated record.